Molecule: long non-coding RNA, 2438 nt
Organism: Coturnix japonica (Japanese quail)
Lineage: Eukaryota; Metazoa; Chordata; Aves; Galliformes; Phasianidae
Source: RefSeq, a predicted model, not a curated record
CCUCAACAUUUUCCAUCUUGACUGAAGGCCUCAGAGUUGAGUGGAAGAUGAUGAUGUAAGCAGAGGGAGUUUUCAGCUGCAGAAAGAACAAUGGUGGAAACUUAUGGUUUUGUACUACAGCAGCUCCUUUCCACUAUCAGACAGGAAUCUAUGACCACAGGCAAUUCAAACAGGGAUACUAACAAAAUAGUGAGGAGCAACAUUGCACAGGCCUUGUCUUAUGGCAUCUGCUCCAGAAACGACUGGAGGAGCAGAGAUCUGUCUAUUGAGUGGACUUAUUGCCCCAGCCUUCUGGGACAUCUGUCAGAGGCCCCUGUUCAGAGAUGUUGGUUAUUGUUUGAAUUGAGUAUUUUAAGCAGUCACUGGUUUUGGGCCAGAGCUCCUUCCGUGGCCUUUCCAACCCUGAUAAGCUUGUCUGAGGUCCCUCAAGUUGCUGCUUAUUUUUUACUGUGGGAAAGAGGAAGAAUAUUCAAAUGAGGUCAUUUUUUGAAGGAUCUUUAAGAACAAGACAUUAAAAAUUGUUAUUAUGCUAUGAAUUAGUGAGGUGGCUACGUAGAUGCUGUUGGCAUAGAAUACAUCUUUGAGCAAAUGGAUCUCAGAUCCAACUCAAGGUUUUUCAUCAAAGCAUGUGAUAUUUGAGUGAGUAUUUCAGAAUAUGAAAAGCAUGUCUUUUUAAAACAGCAUGUGUAAUCAGCCUGAACCUGCUUUACAGCUAGGAUAUUCAAACUAAGAGUACUGCUGGUGUCUGACACUGAUCUAUUAGCUAAUGCUGGUAACAUGCUGGGAACUACCUGUGUUCUGUAACACUGGAAGGCAGUCCAUUAGUGCCUGAAUUAAUGCACUCAGGGACUUUUAAUUCUUCAUGGAAUCUAUUUCCAUAUUUAAUUACGGGAAAGUCAUAGAAAAAAAGUUACAAAGCACCUUCUUCAUCCAUUUCAUUGUCAACGAGAGUGGCGAUUACUAAUUCUUCUUCAAGUUAUAUUGCAGUGUUCACUUAAAAUAAUGCAGCUCCUUGCUGAGUUUGCUCCAAUUAAGCCAUAUUUUAUUUGCUAAUGACUUACCAAGUUGACAGUGACCUUGAAGUUGGUAUUGUCAACACUUCUUGGCAUAAAGCAUUAGGUGAUUUAGAGUUAUUAAGAGUGCAUCAAUUUAUUCUUCAGUCUUUGUCAGUGUUUUUAAAAAGCUUUUUGGUUCCAUUACAGAUAAGAUACUUUACCUGGAUAAUGUACAGGUUAGUAAGUUAAGUAACAAUCAAUUUAUAUUAAUUUUACUGCAGAUUUUAAAAAUAUGGCAGCACUUUUAUUGUCUUUUGAGUUUGAAAAAGAGCAAUCUCUGUGUCAUCUUUAAUUGUUACUAGUCCAAUUUAUUACCAUCUCAUUUCUGUUGGCCUAAGUCACUUUUACAAAUAUUUAUAAAUAUUUAGAUAAUGUCAGUAUCUCAAGUUAUACUCAAUUAUUGUUGAAUUUAACUUACUACAUGUAUUAAAAAUUGUGCAAGUAUAACUGAAAAGAGUAAGAUGUUGAUUUGUCAUGAAUGCUUCUUGGUACUUUAAGACAAAGAUAAAUAAUAAAAUCAUAAUUAGACAGCUCAAAAGUAUUUAUAACCUCAUAGUCACAAUUUAGUAAUAAUGCAAGGCACCUUUGCAUUAAAAGCAUUAAGGCAAACAAGAUAAUAUUUAGAACAAGUGACUACAGGAAUGUUACUCAAAAUUUUUCUGUUCUUCUGUUUGCUUUUAUCAUAUUUUUCCUUUUGAAAGCCAAUACUGCAUGUCUUUAAGUCAGAUACAUACAUAAUCACACUGUGAAUUCAUAUACUUUAUCUACUGGAAACUGCCAUUAGUCCUUGUUUCCGCACACUUGUGUUUUAUAUUGAACAUGACUCAAGAAUAAAGAACCACCUUUAUAUGUUUAGAAAAACUACUUGGUUACUGAAGUGUUGAAUAAUGGUAGAAAAGACCCAACACUGACAGUGACUCAUAGGCAUUGGCCACAGUGAUUAGCAAACACAGAUUUUGGUUUAAUAACAUGCAGAAAUUUAGGUAUAUAAAUAUUUUCACAUCUUUAUUCAAGAAAAAAAAAGUAUUUUAAAAUUGAGUUUCUGGUUUACAGUAAAGUUGUACUGAAUACUUUUUUGUAGAUGUUAAUUUAUGGCUGGAAAUGCCAAUUGUAUAAUAGGAAAGUGAUGUUCUGUAGUAAGGUUUUCUUUUGUAUUAAUUUUAUUUUGAAAUACAUGUUCAUUUGCUUUAGCAAGGGCUUAGGGUAUAUGAGAUGUAUUUUAAAUGUAGAGACCACAUCUAACAUUUUGUUCAGCCUUUCAGCUUUUUAUCAGAAAAUCUUUACUCUUCAGUGUAAUCAGCUGUGAAUUUUAAGUUGCUCAUGAAAAGCUGAAAUGUUUUUCAGUCACGUAAGGCUUACUGCUCUGUAAGUAGGGUACAUCUC